GUUCAAGCUACGAAGGGCGCGCGGUGGAUGCCUUGGCGCAAAGAGCUGAUGAAGGACGCGGUAAGCGGCGAAACGCUUCGGGGAGCUGCAAUCGAGCUUUGAUCCGAAGAUAUCCGAAUGGGGUAACCCGGCGGAGCGAACAGCUCCGUCACUUCUGCCUGAAUACAUAGGGCAGAUAGAAGGCAGCCGGUGAACUGAAACAUCUAAGUAACCGGACGAAAAUAAAGUAAUAACGAUUCCGUCAGUAGCGGCGAGCGAAAGCGGAAGAGCCUAAACCAUAGAUCACGAUUUAUGGGGUUGCGGGGUCAGAGUCGUGGGAUCUGAAGUAUAUAGUCGAACCCUCUGGAAAGUGGGUCCAUAGAAGGUGAAAGCCCUGUAGACGAAAUGUACGACAGCCCUAUCUGAUACCCAAGUACUGCGGGACACGAGGAACCCUGCAGGAAUCUGGGAGGACCAUCUCCUAAGGCUAAAUACUCUUUGCGACCGAUAGCGAAAAAGUACCGUGAGGGAAAGGUGAAAAGCACCCCGGGAGGGGAGUGAAAUAGUCCCUGAAACCGCGUCGCCUACAAGCUGUCAAAGCACUAUGCCAAGCUUGCUUGGAAUGUGUGAUGGCGUGCCUUUUGCAGAAUGAGCCUGCGAGUUAACGUUAGUUGCAAGCUUAAGUGAUAGAUUCACGGAGGCGCAGCGAAAGCGAGUCUGAAUAGGGCGUCUAGUAGCUAGCGUUAGACCCGAAACCGUGUGAUCUACCCAUGGUCAGGUUGAAGCGAAGGUAAUACUUCGUGGAGGACCGAACCGGUGUAUGUUGAAGAAUGCUCGGAUGAACUGUGGGUAGGGGUGAAAUGCCAAUCGAACACGGAGAUAGCUGGUUCUCCUCGAAAUGCAUUUAGGUGCAGCGUUAUUUGUUUACCGUCGGAGGUAGAGCACUGAAUAGUCGAUGGGCCCUCCAAGGUUACUGAGAUUAAUCAAACUCCGAAUGCCGACGGUCUAAGAAUAGCAGUGAGACAGUGGGGGAUAAGCUUCAUUGUCGAAAGGGAAACAGCCCAGACCCACCGCUAAGGUCCCUAAGUAAUGGCUAAGUGUGAAAGGAUGUGGGAGUACGUAAACAGCCAGGAUGUUGGCUUAGAAGCAGCCACCAUUUAAAGAGUGCGUAAUAGCUUACUGGCCGAAUGUACUCCUGCGCCGAUAAUGUAAGGGGGCUCAAGCCAUUUACCGAAGCGUGGGAAGCAGUCUUUUGACUGCUUGGUAGAGGAGCGUUGUGUGCGGGUUGAAGCAUGAGCGUAAGCACGUGUGGACUGCACACAAGUGAGGAUGCAGGCAUAAGUAGCGAAAAGACAGGUGAGAAUCCUGUCCACCGGAAGCCUAAGGUUUCUGCAGUAAAGCUCGUCUUCUGCAGGUCAGUCGGUCCUAAGGCGAGGGCGAAGGCCGUAGUCGAUGGAUAAACGGUUUAUAUUCCGUUACCGUGCGUAAAGGUUAAACGUCUGGGGACGCCGUUCGUAUAUUUCAUCUGGUGAUUGGUUGUACCAGUUCCGCAAGGACGAGUGAAACCCUUCGGGGGGAAGCGAAGUGAUGGGUAUGAGGGGCCGAGAAAAGCCAUGACGGUACAAUACGUACGACCGUACCGCAAACCGACACAGGUAGGCAGGUAGAGGAUACCAAGGUGUUCGAGAUAACUCUCGUUAAGGAACUAGGCAAUCUAACCCCGUAACUUCGGGAGAAGGGGUGCCAGAGCAAUCUGGCCGCAGUGAAAUGGCUCGAGCGACUGUUUACCAAAAACACAGGUCUGUGCAAAAGCGAAAGCUGACGUAUACGGGCUGACGCCUGCCCAAUGCCAGAAUGUUAACAGGAGAUGUCAGCGCAAGCGAAGCAUUGAAUCGAAGCACUGGUGAAUGGCGGCCGUAACUAUAACGGUCCUAAGGUAGCGAAAUUCCUUGUCGGGUAAGUUCCGACCCGCACGAAUGGCGUAACGACUUGAGCGCUGUCUCAACGAGAGACUCGGUGAAAUUGUAACAUGCGUGAAGAUGCGCAUUACCCGCUGCAGGACGGAAAGACCCCGUGGAGCUUUACUACACCCUGACAUUGCUAGGCGGCAUAUUCUGUAGAGCGUAGGUGGGAGAGAGCAAUCUCGCCAAUGGAACACCACCCUGGAUAUGUUGUUUAGCUAACCUGCGCCGUUAUCCGGCAAAGAGACCGUGUCAGGCGGGUAGUUUGACUGGGGCGGUCGCCUCCCAAAAUGUAACGGAGGCGUCCAAAGCUGCCCUCAGGUUGGUUGGAAACCAACUUUCGAGUACAAAGGCAUAAGGGCGGUUUACUGUGAGACCUACAAGUCGAGCAGUUGCGAAAGCAGGGCUUAGUGACCCUUUGGUUGUGUAUGGGUGCGCCAAAGAUCAUCGGAUAUAAGCUACCCCGGGGAUAACAGGCUUAUCUUGCCCAAGCGCUCACAGCGACGGCAUGGUUUGGCACCUCGAUGUCGGCUCGUCGCAUCCUGGGGCUGGAUUCGGUCCCAAGGGUUAGGCUGUUCGCCUAUUAAAGCGGUACGCGAGCUGGGUUCAGAACGUCGUGAGACAGUUCGGUCCCUAUCCGCAGCGGGCGUAAGAAGUUUGAUGGGAGCUGUCCCUAGUACGAGAGGACCGGGAUGGACAGACCUCUGGUGUGCCAGUUGUACCGCCAGGUGCAUCCGCUGGGUAGCUAUGUCUGGUCGUGAUAAGCGCUGAAAGCAUCUAAGCGCGAAGUACACCCAAAGAUAAGACUUCUCAUGGAGUAGUCCAGUAAGGCCUGAGGUAGACCACCUCUUUGUGGCGCGGGAUGUGUAAUUGCAGUAAUGCAUUCAGCAAACCCGUAGCUAUCGGCCGAGGGCUUGACAA
RNAcentral lists this ribosomal RNA (2861 nucleotides) under Armatimonas rosea. RNAcentral's name for it is "Bacterial large subunit ribosomal RNA". It matches the Rfam family "Bacterial large subunit ribosomal RNA". Lineage: Bacteria; Bacillati; Armatimonadota; Armatimonadia; Armatimonadales; Armatimonadaceae. The record is from Rfam by way of RNAcentral.